CCUACGGGAGGCAGCAGUGGGGAAUAUUGGACAAUGGGCGAAAGCCUGAUCCAGCAAUGCCGCGUGAGUGAUGAAGGCCUUAGGGUUGUAAAGCUCUUUUACCCGGGAUGAUAAUGACAGUACCGGGAGAAUAAGCUCCGGCUAACUCCGUGCCAGCAGCCGCGGUAAUACGGAGGAAGCUAGCGUUGUUCGGAAUUACUGGGCGUAAAGCGCACGUAGGCGGCUUUGUAAGUUAGAGGUGAAAGCCUGGAGCUCAACUCCAGAAUUGCCUUUAAGACUGCAUCGCUUGAAUCCAGGAGAGGUGAGUGGAAUUCCGAGUGUAGAGGUGAAAUUCGUAGAUAUUCGGAAGAACACCAGUGGCGAAAGGCGGCUC
This 373-nucleotide ribosomal RNA is filed under the name uncultured bacterium. RNAcentral's name for it is "bacterial SSU rRNA". It matches the Rfam family "Bacterial small subunit ribosomal RNA", at positions 338 to 727 of the family's 1533-position model. The record is from RNAcentral.